This 253-nucleotide ribosomal RNA is filed under the name uncultured bacterium. RNAcentral describes it as "partial 16S ribosomal RNA". It matches the Rfam family "Bacterial small subunit ribosomal RNA", at positions 524 to 776 of the family's 1533-position model. The record is from RNAcentral.
GACAGAGGGUGCAAACGUUGUUCGGAAUUACUGGGCGUAAAGCGCGUGUAGGCUGCUCUGCAAGUCGGAUGUGAAAGCCCUGGGCUCAACCUAGGAAGUGCAUUCGAAACUGCAAAGCUGGAGUCCUGGAGAGGAAGGCGGAAUUCUCGGUGUAGAGGUGAAAUUCGUAGAUAUCGAGAGGAACACCGGUGGCGAAGGCGGCCUUCUGGACAGUGACUGACGCUGAGACGCGAAAGCGUGGGGAGCGAGCAGG